This 492-nucleotide ribosomal RNA is filed under the name uncultured bacterium. RNAcentral describes it as "partial 16S ribosomal RNA". It matches the Rfam family "Bacterial small subunit ribosomal RNA", at positions 29 to 507 of the family's 1533-position model. The record is from RNAcentral.
AGUGAACGCUGGCGGUAGGCCUAACACAUGCAAGUCGAACGGCAGCACAGUAAGAGCUUGCUCUUACGGGUGGCGAGUGGCGGACGGGUGAGGAAUACAUCGGAAUCUACUUUUUCGUGGGGGAUAACGUAGGGAAACUUACGCUAAUACCGCAUACGACCUACGGGUGAAAGCAGGGGAUCUUCGGACCUUGCGCGAUUGAAUGAGCCGAUGUCGGAUUAGCUAGUUGGCGGGGUAAAGGCCCACCAAGGCGACGAUCCGUAGCUGGUCUGAGAGGAUGAUCAGCCACACUGGAACUGAGACACGGUCCAGACUCCUACGGGAGGCAGCAGUGGGGAAUAUUGGACAAUGGGCGCAAGCCUGAUCCAGCCAUAGCGCGUGGGUGAAGAAGGCCUUCGGGUUGUAAAGCCCUUUUGUUGGGAAUGAAAAGCAGCAGGUUAAUACCCCGCUGUUCUGACGGUACCCAAAGAAUAAGCACCGGCUAACUUCGUG